AUUGAACGCUGGCGGCAGGCCUAACACAUGCAAGUCGAACGAGUGGCGGACGGGUGAGUAAUGUCUGGGAAACUGCCCGAUGGAGGGGGAUAACUACUGGAAACGGUAGCUAAUACCGCAUACCAUCGGAUGUGCCCAGAUGGGAGUAGCUUGUAGGUGAGGUAACGGCUCACCUAGGCGACGAUCCCUAGCUGGUCUGAGAGGAUGACCAGGCACGCUGGAAGUGAGACACGGUGCAGACGCCUACGGGAGGCAGAAGGGGGGAAUAGUGCACAAUGGGAGCAAGCCUGAUGCAGCCAUGCAGCGGGGAUGAAGAAGGCCUUCGGGUUGGAAAGUACUUUCAGCGGGGAGGCGUUACCCGCAGAAGAAGCACCGGCUAACGCCGUGCCAGCAGCCGCGGUAAUAC
This 406-nucleotide ribosomal RNA is filed under the name uncultured bacterium. Its description in RNAcentral is "partial 16S ribosomal RNA". It matches the Rfam family "Bacterial small subunit ribosomal RNA", at positions 29 to 526 of the family's 1533-position model. The record is from RNAcentral.